Molecule: transfer RNA, 65 nt
Filed under: Anaspis sp. ANA01
Lineage: Eukaryota; Metazoa; Arthropoda; Insecta; Coleoptera; Scraptiidae
Description: tRNA-Phe
Source: RNAcentral
GUUUAAAUAGCUCAUUUAGAGUUUAAUAUUGAAGAUAUUAAGGUAAUAAUUUUUAUUUUUAAACA